RNAcentral lists this ribosomal RNA (218 nucleotides) under uncultured bacterium. RNAcentral's name for it is "partial 16S ribosomal RNA". It matches the Rfam family "Bacterial small subunit ribosomal RNA", at positions 328 to 539 of the family's 1533-position model. The record is from RNAcentral.
ACGCUCGACACCUAUGGGAGGCAGCAGUGAGGAAUAUUGGUCAAUGGGCGCUAGCCUGAACCAGCCAAGUAGCGUGAAGGAUGAAGGCUCUAUGGGUCGUAAACUUCUUUUAUAUAAGAAUAAAGUGCAGUAUGUAUACUGUUUUGUAUGUAUUAUAUGAAUAAGGAUCGGCUAACUCCGUGUCAGCAGCCGCGGUAAUCUGAGCGGGCUGGCAAGGC